Non-coding RNA from Camelina sativa (false flax), 5041 nucleotides. Lineage: Eukaryota; Viridiplantae; Streptophyta; Magnoliopsida; Brassicales; Brassicaceae. The record is from RefSeq and is a predicted model, not a curated record.
CAUCACUUCCUCGUCUUCUUUAUUUUUUAUGUUUCUAAUUAUGUUGUCCUCCGUUGCUAAAGCUGGUGGUGUGGUGUGAUAAUCUUCUAAACCCCAACGGGUCUAUCAGUCUGUGAUCUUGUUUUCAAUCGAUCAUCGCUAGUUCGUUUCUACUGGUGAAAUCUUUUCUAAGGGUCUUUUUGAAGCAAAUCCUAUGAGAUUAUGAUGAACCGACCAUCGCUCGUUCCUAAUCGUGAAAUCUUCUCUAGGGUUUGGUCUCUCUCAAUUCCAUCGGUCUUUUGGAAGCGAAUCAGUCUAUGAUGACACGACGCUCUUCGCUCCCCCGCUUCUGAAUUUUUCACACUCCAUUCUCCUACGGUUUGGUUUAUUAAUCUUAUUAAUGCUAUAAUCGAUCUAUAAUUUGCUCAGGCACUUCGUUCUCGCUUCUUAAUUUUUAACUUUGGGUUUUCUAAAUUGGAUCGAAUUAACUUGUCGUUUUGUUUUGUUGAUUUUGAUUUUGUGGAGGAUGAGUAUGCGCUACGAUUGAUAUAUGUGAUGGCUUUGAUUGAUCCUUGUCAAGCGGGUCUGAUGAUGCAGGUCGUCGUUGAGGUAGUGUGGGAUUGCUCUGUUAAAAUCUUAUGAUUCUGAUAUCUUGUUUUACAUCUUUUAGUCUCUUAGGUGAUAUGCUUACUUCUGAGAGCUCCUCUGUGAUUUUAUUCAGGUUUUGGAUGUGUGCUUUUAUUGAUCAGUUAUGGCUUUGAUGGACACGCUUCACUUCUUCUCUGUGCAACGUCUUCAUUGGGUUUUUGGAAGGGAAUUAUGAUCUGAUCUCCUCGUUAUUUCUCCAUAAUACAUCUUCAGGCCUUCGCACGGGUUUGUGAAGGAUCCUACGAUAUUGAUCGGUUUAAAAGGAUGCUUUUAUCGAUGAGAGCCAUGGCUUUGAUGCACACGCUUCUUCUCUGUGCUACGUCUUCAGGGUUUUUUGGAAGCGAAAUAUGAUCAGAUUCAGAUCAUUGCAUAAUCUUCUCGAGGCUACGUUUCAGGCUUUCUCACGUGUUCCUUACUUCAAACACUUCUCUAUUUGCUUCUGCAUUUUCACUUAUGUUUGAUGGUUUUUUUACUUACUCUCGUCUUUUGUUUUGGUGGUUUAGAUUUGUGGAGGAGGAUCCUACAAUUGGUCGGUGAUGGCUUUGAUGGAAACGCUUCUUCUCUGUGCUACGUCUUCAGAGGUGUUUUGGAAGCAAUUAUGAUCGGAUCAUUGCAUACCUUCUAACGUUAUGAAUUUAUUUAUGUGGUUUACUUGUCAUUCUGUUAUUUCAGGUUUUUGGAUGAUGUUUUUAUCGAUGAGAAUGAUGUCUCAAGGAGACAUGGACGCUUCACUUCUUCUCUGUGCUAACCUGUUUUGGAAGCUAAGUAUGAUAUGAUUGGAUCAUCGGAUAUUAUUCUGCAGGCUACGUCUUUAAUUAGGCUUUCAACACAUCUAUAUUUGCUUCUGAGUUUUAACUCUGGUUGUGGUUUUUUUAAUUACAUGUUACUUACUUGUUGGUUUUUGUUUUGUUGGUUUAGAUCUGUGGAGGAGGAUCCUUCGAUUAAUCGCUGUUGGCUUUGACUGAUCGUUGUCACUCGAAUUCAUGUUAUAUGAUCCAUCAGUGAUUGUGGAGGAGUAUACUAAGAAUAUCUAUCGGUCAUAGAUCGUGGAGGCAAUGGGAUUGCUCUGUUGAAUCUUUUUUCUCUGCCUUUUCUCUUUUGGUUUCUUCUGAUUUUUCAAGAGGUAUGAUCUGUCCUCUGUGUGUCUUUCAUUGGUUGUUUACAGAUUUCCAGCAUCAAUCACUCCUCUCUGUUUCUCUGCUGAUGUUUGUCUACACAUAUUCAUAUGAAAGGUGGUCUUAUCUUUUUUCUUAGGUAGUAAGGUUCUAAAAAGAAAAUUGCCAGGUUACUAACUGGUUCUUCCCCUUUAUUUUAUCUGUUGGUCUUAUCUCUCAUGCUACAUUUAUGUUUAGUGAUUGAAAGAUGAUGCCUUUGAUCUUGUGGUUCCAUGUUUACUCUCUGACAUCCUCUGAUAUAAAAGGUAUUUUGAGCUGUGAAUUGUGACCGUGGGGAGUUUCUUUUGAUUAUUUGGUAUGUUGAGGAUGCUAAGGAGUUUAACCUGCGAGUGUGAACAUGUGGUCUAUUCAGGUUUGUGGUGGAGGAUCCUACGAUUGAUCACUGAUGGCUUUGACUGAUAGUUGUCACUCUAGUUCAUGUCAUUCUUCUAAGGUUUUGAAUCAUGCUUUUAUUGAUGAGAGUCAUGGCUUUGAUGGACACGCUUCUUCUCUGUUUUACGUAUUCAGGGUGUUUUGGAAGCUAAUUAUGAUCUUAUCAUCACAUAUUCUUCUCCAUGCUACAUUUUCAGGCCUUCUCACAAGUUUGUGGUGAUUGAUCGGUGAUGGCUUUGACUGAUUGUUGUCACUCUAAUUCAUGUUAUACUCCUAAGGUUUUGAAUGAUGCUUUUAUCAGUGAGAUUCAUGGCUUUGAUGGACAUGUUUCUUCUCUGGGCUAUGUCUUCAGGGUUUUUUUCUUCCUCUUAACACUUCUUUUAGUACACUCUUUUUGCUAGACCUGAAUAUUUUUUAAGUUGUUUUUGAAUAUAAUGUGUCUUUUUUUAUGUGUCUCUUAGGUAUGCUAAGUCUAAGCUCUUCUGAUGCACAAGGCUCAAGUUCUUGUUCUCUUUCUCUUUGGGAUCUGUCAGCUAUCUCUUUGUUUUUAUAAAGUAGAGUUUGAAUUUUGGCUCCCUGAGUUUUAGACUGUGGCAUUGGGCAGUCGUCAACAUCAUUUGGACUUAUUUUUGGAUGUUUCAGGUUCUUUGUAGUUGAUGAUCUUCUUAGUGAUAGGGCAUUUAUGAUUUAUGCCUAAGACCCUAUCAUUUGUUAUUGAUAGUCGAGGAUCUAUCAGAGAGAAUCAUCAGGUAACUAACUGGUCACUUUCCCUAUAUGGUUUAUCAUGUUACAUCUAUUUCUAGUGUUUGAUCCUACUCUCAUAUGCUUGUGAUUGUGGUUUUUCUUAUGUGAAGUGCUCCCUUCUUUGUUAUUUCUAUGUUACCUCCUUGGUGGUUUUUCUUCUGUGAAGUGCUACCUUCUCGUUAUUUCUAUGUUAUUUCUUAUGUGUUUGAUCCUACUCUCAUAUGCUUGUGAUUGGUGGUUUUUCUCUUUUCCUUGGAGAUAUAAUCAGUUUUGCUUCCCCCUUUUUUUUUUUUUUUCCCAUUUUUCUAUGGUUUAAUUGUUAAUCACUUUUGUUCAGGAUGGUGUUUUCUAUUUCUACGUGAAUUCAUUAUCUGCGUAUAGGAAUUUGGAUGAUGCAAGUAGAAGUUCUGUUGUAUUCUUAAUUCCUGUGGUUGAUUUAGGUGUCAUGAGCUUAUUUUUCUGCUGUGUGGUUGUUAGUUGUUACACCUCUUUCUAUUUGUGAAUUACUUCUGAUUGUUAUAGUUUACUGGGUAGUCACGAGAAGUAAGCUUUGGGUUCCUCACUGGUUGCAUAAAGGAUUGAUCUCAAUUCGUAUGUUUCCUUUUUGUUAUUAUUUCUCCUCUGUAUGUCUUAUUGUAUGUUCCAGGAUUUCUUCAUUAAUCACUAUACUCUGAUCCUUUGCAGUCUAGUCGUAAUCAGAUGAAAGAUAAUCAUAACUUCCUUUUAAAUGGGUUUGUACUUAUUUUCUGUCCUUUUUAUGAUGGAUGUGUCUACCAAAAGUAGUUUUUGCAUUGAAUAUCUUCAAGUCUGAGCUUCUCUUAAGCAGAAAGCUAAGCUAGACAUGUUGUUAAUCAGGUAGUUGUUCAUCUUUCCUUCUUUGUUCUUCUGCAAUAUGUGGAUUCAUACUUCCUGUAUUUUGAAGUGUGUUUAGCCUCAUGAGAUUUUAACUAUGAGACUACGACAGUGGGAAGUUUCACAUGAUUGGAACUUGUCAUUGGAUUUUUUUGUUAAGUCUUUUAACAUAGAUAUUUCAGGUUUACUACUUGGUCUCUUCUUUGUUUAUCUAUUUGGUGUGCUACAUAUAUUCCUACUUGUGAUGGUAGGUUUUCUAUUUAUGAAUUCCUUCCCAUCAUUAUAGGUAUAUUGAGGAUGUGUUGGAGGCAGACUCCCUUUUCGAUUUUUGGGCAUUGAAGAUUGAAAUUUUGAUUGCAGUAUUUUUUAUACUAUUGGUGUUUUAUGCCUUUUUCUGUUUUGGUUUUACCACUAUAUUGUCUUGUGUUGGUGAGUUGUGUUCCUGCUCAGUAUUCUCUUCAGUUUGUCAAUUUGAUGUCAUCGUUUAUUUGAUUAUGUAAGUGAUUCUUGCUGGUCGUGUGACCUCAUGGGGGCAGCUCAUAGAAAGUGAAGAGCGUCUUGGUUUUGAUGAUAAUGGUCUUAACUUCUGACUUGUGAGGUUUUUUGCUUCCUGGGUUGUGGUUGGUUUUAAUGGUUCUGUAGACAUUUGAUAAUGAAGUCCUCGCUUGAUUUUAUGGUUGGGUGAUGCAUUAGGUUGUUGGAUUUCAGGGGAGGCUUAAUUUUAUAGAUAGACUUCUUACGAAUGUUCUCAGGUAGUCAGUGAAAAUUGAAAACAUCACCUUCCUUACAUCUGGUGAAGAGGCUGAUUAAGUAAGUUGUUGGAUUGUUACUUUGGUAGAGGCUGAUUAAGUAAGUUGUUGUGGAUUGUUACCUCCAUUAUGGUUACUUUGAUUCAGAUUCUACCAACCACAGAAGUGUCUAGCUCAUUUAUGGGACCUUCGGUGUGGGUUGCUUUGACUUGGAUCUACAAUUGCGCAAAUGAUGUUUUCUCAACUUGUCUAUAUUGUUUUAUGCCUCUUUUUGAUUUGUCAUGUCGUGACCAUGAAGCCUACGCUGGUGUUGCGGUUUCUGAAGUUCUCAUGGGAAGCACUGUGACUAGGACUGGAGUAGAGGCUGAAAAUGAUUGAAAUAGUGAUUUUGUUCAGUUAUGUGCUUUUGUAUAGUGUAUCUAUUCUCCGAGAACUGAUGUCUUGGAUGUAUAAGACUGUUUUGUAAGUUUUAAAAGGUGAUACUGGUGAAUUUAUGGGAAUGAGUACACACAUGAGAAGUUA